UAAUACGGAGGGUGCAAGCGUUAAUCGGAAUUACUGGGCGUAAAGCGUGCGCAGGCGGUUUGUUAAGUCAGAUGUGAAAGCCCCGGGCUUAACCUGGGAACUGCAUUUGAUACUGGCAAACUAGAGUGUGGUAGAGGGAAGUGGAAUUCCUCAUGUAGCGGUGAAAUGCGUAGAUAUGAGGAGGAACACCAGUGGCGAAGGCGACUUCCUGGACCAACACUGACGCUCAUGUACGAAAGCGUGGGUAGCAAACAGGAUUAGAUACCCUGGUAGUCCACGCCGUAAACGAUGUCUACUAGCCGUUGGGGGGCUUGUCCCUUUAGUGGCGCAGCUAACGCGAUAAGUAGACCGCCUGGGGAGUACGGUCGCAAGAUUA
This 376-nucleotide ribosomal RNA is filed under the name uncultured Gammaproteobacteria bacterium. RNAcentral describes it as "bacterial SSU rRNA". It matches the Rfam family "Bacterial small subunit ribosomal RNA", at positions 521 to 896 of the family's 1533-position model. Lineage: Bacteria; Pseudomonadati; Pseudomonadota; Gammaproteobacteria. The record is from RNAcentral.